RNAcentral lists this long non-coding RNA (370 nucleotides) under Lathyrus oleraceus (garden pea). Its description in RNAcentral is "Pisum sativum (pea) long non-coding RNA (PSAT_LNC016995)". Lineage: Eukaryota; Viridiplantae; Streptophyta; Magnoliopsida; Fabales; Fabaceae. The record is from RNAcentral.
GUUAUGUAUGUUUGAUUUUGGUUAAUGGUUAGGGAAGGGGAUUUGUUAUAGUUAAGGUUGGAUUCAUGAUGCAGGGUUCAUAAGGGUUCGAUCUGGGCAAGUUGGGGUGUUUCUGGAAAAGUGUUAGAGUUAAGUUCAUAGCCAUGAAGUUUGGGAUUCAAAUGAGAACCCUAGGGUUAAUCUAGGAAGAGGGUAGGGUUCUAGAGAACCAUUAGGGUUCUUAGGGUUCGUGAGAACCCAAUUAAGGUUCUUAGGCUAUGGAGGCUUCUGGGUUUAAGAAGUUAUUAGGAUUCAUCUUAUGAACCCUAGGGUUCAUUUAGGGAACCCAGAUAUGAAGGUUGGAGGUUUUUCUAGAAAAUGUUUGAUGAAC